GAAGGAUCAUUACCAAGAGAAAUCUUUCAACACUGAAAGAUCUUUUCCUUUGUGCUGGCUUUGACCGUAUGUAAUUUUGGGACUUUAAAAUGGUUCGCAAGGGCCGGUCCCAAAAACAAUAUAUCAUCCUUAUGAAAUUUUUUCUGAACAAUUAAACAAAAUGAUUUUAAUAAUCUGUUUAAAACAACUUUCAACAACGGAUCUCUUGGUUCUCGCAUCGAUGAAGAACGCAGCGAAAUGCGAUACGUAAUGUGAAUUGCAGAAUUCAGUGAAUCAUCGAAUCUUUGAACGCACAUUGCACUCCUUGGUAUUCCGAGGAGUAUGCCUGUUUCAGUAUCAUGAGCACUCUCACACCUAACCUUUGGGUUUAUGGCGUGGAAUUGGAAUGCGCCGACUGUCAUGGUUGGCCCUUCUAAAAUGUAGUUCUUGGCUGUCACCUAAUACAGCAGUUUGGCCUAAUAGUUUUGGCAUUCAUUGUCAAAUCUUUGGCUAACAUUUGCUCCAGGAGUCAGUCUUGAUAAUACAGAAAACUCAUUCAAAUUUUGAUCUGAAAUCAGGUAGGGCUACCCGCUGAACUUAAGCAUAUCAAUAAGCGGAGGAAAAGAAACUAACAAGGAUUCCCCUAGUAACGGCGAGUGAAGCGGGAAGAGCUCAAAUUUAAAAUCUGGUUUGCUUUGCAAAUCCGAGUUGUAGUCUGAAGAAACGUUUUCCAUGAAAGCUGAGGCACAAGUCCUUUGGAACAGGGCAUCAUAGAGGGUGAGAAUCCCGUCCAUGGUCUCAAGCCUUUCAUUUUGUGAUACGUUUUCUAAGAGUCAGGUUGUUUGGGAAUGCAGCCUAAAAUGGGUGGUAAAUUUCAUCUAAAGCUAAAUAUUGGCGAGAGACCGAUAGCGAACAAGUACCGUGAGGGAAAGAUGAAAAGAACUUUGAAAAGAGAGUUAAAAAGUACGUGAAAUUGUUGAAAGGGAACCGUUUGAAGCCAGUCUUGCUUGCUUGUGAUCAAUCUUUGCUUCGGCUUGGAUGCACUCUCAGGUUAUGCAGGUCAACGUCAGUUUGAGAGGUGGGAAAAAAGCUUGAGGAAUGUGGCCUUCGGGUGUUAUAGCCUCUUGCUAAAUACCAUCUUUUGGACUGAGGCUCGCAGCAAAAAUGUGGGCAGGUUUGCGUUUGAGGUGAUACAUUAUUAAGACAGCUUGCUGACUUAGUUUUGUCUAUCUUCACUGUAAGCUUCGCUUCUAAUUUGCUUAGG
Molecule: small RNA, 1243 nt
Filed under: Umbelopsis versiformis
Lineage: Eukaryota; Fungi; Mucoromycota; Umbelopsidomycetes; Umbelopsidales; Umbelopsidaceae
Description: eukaryotic LSU rRNA
Rfam family: Eukaryotic large subunit ribosomal RNA (bases 544-1243)
Source: RNAcentral